GACGAACGCUGGCGGCGUGCUUAACACAUGCAAGUCGAACGGAAAGGCCCUGCUCUUGCGGGGUGCUCGAGUGGCGAACGGGUGAGUAACACGUGAGUAACCUGCCCUUGACUUUGUGAUAACUUCAGGAAACUGGGGCUAUUAUCGGAUAGGAGCUCCUGCGGCAUGGUGGGGGUUGGAAAGUUUCGGUUGUUUGGGAUGGACUCGAGGCUUAUGAGCUUGUUGGUGGGGUUGUGGCUUACCAAGGUUGUGACGGGUAGCCGGCCUGAGAGGGUUGACGGCCACAUGGGGACUGAGGGACGGCCCAGACUCCAACGGGAGGCAGCAGUGGGGAAUAUGGCACAAUGGGCGGAAGCCAGAUGCAACGACGCCGCGUGCGGGAUGACGGCCUUCGGGGUAUAAACCGCUUUCGCCGGUGACGAAGCGUGAGUGACGGUAAUGAGUAAAGAAGCACCGGCUAACUACGUG
RNAcentral lists this ribosomal RNA (468 nucleotides) under uncultured bacterium. RNAcentral's name for it is "partial 16S ribosomal RNA". It matches the Rfam family "Bacterial small subunit ribosomal RNA", at positions 28 to 507 of the family's 1533-position model. The record is from RNAcentral.